CCAAGACCCACUUUCAGCCAUUGUGCUGAAACCCUGCCUUUGGAUAUGGUAGAUCCUGAAAAUCUGGGCAGGAAUGAGGUUCCUCCACGCAUAGCACCUCCCUUUCAUUCAGCCGGAUCUCCCAUUAGAAGCACAGGGCCCAGCAUGGAACUGGUUUACAGAGAAGCAUUUGCCUUGUUGCUGUUUGGAACGCUCCUGUAGUCUUCUGGAAACUUCCAGCUUCUUGGAGUAAGCAGCUACUGGAUCUCGUGGCUCUCCAGUGUGCAGGCACCAUUGUGGAAUAUCCUGCUUCUGAUCCUUCCAGCCUACCUAAUAAAUCUUUUUACAUAUUCUGUAUAUUGAUUCUGUUCCUCAAGAGAACUAUAACUGAUACAGAUGCUAUAAACCAGGGCUUUUCAACAACUGCAUUGCUUUCAGGGCCAAUGGGUGGAGACAUUUUGGAGAUGAGGAAACAACUGGUUGACAAGAUAAUUUGUAGACACUGCUAGCAUUUGUGAGCAGCAGUGAAGAAUGCUAGACAUUGGACCAGGCAUGCAAGCACUCAAGCACUCAAGAAGCUGAGAUCAUGACCUUCAUUGUGUUCUUGAACCACUGAUCUUGAGAAGAGCUGGAGAAGGCCAGUUUCUAUUGUUUUCUGAGACUCUUCUGGAGUACUAAAUGCUGAAGCAAAUGAAUAAUUAUGUUGACUUACUGUGUAUCAAGUUCUUUUAGAGUGAGAAAAAUGAGAUACAAAUGUAAGAUCUAUGAGGUUGAAUUUAAAACCCUAUAGCCCUGAACUGGAAUGAAAAGUUUCAACUCGGGAAAUAUUUUAUCUUUAAAAAGCUUUAGCUCUAUCCAUCAAAAAGCCUAGAAAUAAUGACAGUCCAUUAACAAUGAGCACUGUUAGUACCCAGAUUGUCAUCUCUACACAUAAUUUCCCAUUUUAAAGAAUCUGGACUUCUCAGAGAAGGC
Molecule: long non-coding RNA, 951 nt
Filed under: Heterocephalus glaber (naked mole-rat)
Lineage: Eukaryota; Metazoa; Chordata; Mammalia; Rodentia; Bathyergidae
Description: lncRNA (ENSHGLG00100044575.1)
Source: RNAcentral